CUUCGCUUUAAUGCGCUUAGAUU
This 23-nucleotide small nuclear RNA is filed under the name Arabidopsis thaliana (thale cress). Its description in RNAcentral is "snRNA_14408". Lineage: Eukaryota; Viridiplantae; Streptophyta; Magnoliopsida; Brassicales; Brassicaceae. The record is from RNAcentral.